Molecule: ribosomal RNA, 253 nt
Filed under: uncultured bacterium
Lineage: Bacteria
Also listed under: 1 other name
Description: partial 16S ribosomal RNA
Rfam family: Bacterial small subunit ribosomal RNA
Source: RNAcentral
UACAGAGGCCACGAGCAUUAGUCGGAAUCACUGGGCUUAAAGGGUGCGUAGGUGGCUUGCCAAGUGCUUUGUGAAAUCCCACGGCUCAACCGUGGAACAGCAGGGCAUACUGGCAGGCUUGAGGCAAGUAGGGGCUGACGGAACAGUAGGUGGAGCGGUGAAAUGCGUAGAUAUCUACUGGAACGCCGAUGGUGAAGACGGUCAGCUGGGCUUGUCCUGACACUGAGGCACGAAAGCGUGGGGAGCAAACAGG